Molecule: long non-coding RNA, 209 nt
Filed under: Elaeis guineensis (African oil palm)
Lineage: Eukaryota; Viridiplantae; Streptophyta; Magnoliopsida; Arecales; Arecaceae
Description: long non-coding RNA (EGUI_LNC042367)
Source: RNAcentral
AUGGUUACAGAUAUCACUGUCAGUCAGUUACGCUCUCUGUCUAUAAAUAAGGAUCCCCAGAUACGUUCUUUUCUAAGCUCAAAAACUAUAUCUCGAAACUCUGCCAAAAUUUUCACUCGAGUACUCCAUUUCUGUUGAGGCAGAGUACUGACUUGAGCGUCAGAGGAUCUUGCCGGAGCACCCCCAACUCCGGUUUAGACUUCCCUUGC